Molecule: long non-coding RNA, 451 nt
Organism: Leopardus geoffroyi (Geoffroy's cat)
Lineage: Eukaryota; Metazoa; Chordata; Mammalia; Carnivora; Felidae
Exons: 2
Source: RefSeq, a predicted model, not a curated record
AAUAUGUGGACCACUGGGUCCUACGGGCCAUCCGUGGGGUAGCAGGACUGGAAUCCAACUUUGUUGCCUACAGGGGUCACCUGAGACCUUCUACUCUUCUUCUGGAGGGAGGCAUGACAAGAAGCAACCUCGAGCGUCGUUCGGAAGGAAAUCCCAACUCCUGUGCUGAAAGGGACCCUGCAGCUGGGCUCUCACGACACAUGAGACAGCCAAGAGGCAUGCUGAGUCGCGGCCCAAGAGGGGCAGUUAGAGCAGAGGGUAAAAGGCACCGGGUAGAAGAGCAACGAAAUAAGAAAGGGUGGCGGGAGGGAAGGGAGCCAGCUGGGGUGGAAAGGAGGAAGCCUGUGCACCUGUACACAAACACCAUGCACGACCGGCCCCGUUCUGCGUUCACACCGGAAUCCUUAACAUUCUGCUUCACCAAAAUAAAAUGACCACACGGGUGAUGGCA